RNAcentral lists this ribosomal RNA (454 nucleotides) under Bacillus infantis. Its description in RNAcentral is "bacterial SSU rRNA". It matches the Rfam family "Bacterial small subunit ribosomal RNA", at positions 1 to 444 of the family's 1533-position model. Lineage: Bacteria; Bacillati; Bacillota; Bacilli; Caryophanales; Bacillaceae. The record is from RNAcentral.
UUAUAUGGAGAGUUUGAUCCUGGCUCAGGACGAACGCUGGCGGCGUGCCUAAUACAUGCAAGUCGAGCGGACGGAUGGGAGCUUGCUCCCUGAAGUCAGCGGCGGACGGGUGAGUAACACGUGGGCAACCUGCCUGUAAGACUGGGAUAACUUCGGGAAACCGGAGCUAAUACCGGAUAAUGCAUAACCUCUCAUGAGGUUAUGCUGAAAGAUGGUUUCGGCUAUCACUUACAGAUGGGCCCGCGGCGCAUUAGCUAGUUGGUGAGGUAACGGCUCACCAAGGCAACGAUGCGUAGCCGACCUGAGAGGGUGAUCGGCCACACUGGGACUGAGACACGGCCCAGACUCCUACGGGAGGCAGCAGUAGGGAAUCUUCCGCAAUGGACGAAAGUCUGACGGAGCAACGCCGCGUGAGUGAUGAAGGUUUUCGGAUCGUAAAACUCUGUUGUCAGGG